RNAcentral lists this ribosomal RNA (487 nucleotides) under uncultured bacterium. RNAcentral's name for it is "bacterial SSU rRNA". It matches the Rfam family "Bacterial small subunit ribosomal RNA", at positions 28 to 517 of the family's 1533-position model. The record is from RNAcentral.
GACGAACGCUGGCGGCGUGCUUAACACAUGCAAGUCGAACGAGAAUCUGCGGAAAGAGGAUUCGUCCAAUUGAAGCAGAGGACAGUGGCGGACGGGUGAGUAACGCGUGAGGAACCUGCCUUUCAGAGGGGGACAACAGUUGGAAACGACUGCUAAUACCGCAUGACACAUCGGAGUCGCAUGGCUCUGAUGUCAAAGAUUUAUCGCUGAAAGAUGGCCUCGCGUCUGAUUAGCUAGUUGGUGAGGUAACGGCCCACCAAGGCGACGAUCAGUAGCCGGACUGAGAGGUUGAACGGCCACAUUGGGACUGAGAUACGGCCCAGACUCCUACGGGAGGCAGCAGUGGGGAAUAUUGGGCAAUGGGCGCAAGCCUGACCCAGCAACGCCGCGUGAAGGAAGAAGGCUUCGGUUGUAAACUUCUUUGUCAGGGACGAGUAGAAGACGGUACCUGACGAAUAAGCCACGGCUAACUACGUGCCAGCAGCCG